UACGUAGGGGGCGAGCGUUGUCCGGAAUUACUGGGCGUAAAGGGUGCGUAGGUGGUUUCUUAAGUCAGAGGUGAAAGGCUACGGCUCAACCGUAGUAAGCCUUUGAAACUGGGAAACUUGAGUGCAGGAGAGGAGAGUGGAAUUCCUAGUGUAGCGGUGAAAUGCGUAGAUAUUAGGAGGAACACCAGUUGCGAAGGCGGCUCUCUGGACUGUAACUGACACUGAGGCACGAAAGCGUGGGGAGCAAACAGGAUUAGAUACCCUGGUAGUCCCUGAG
RNAcentral lists this ribosomal RNA (277 nucleotides) under uncultured prokaryote. RNAcentral describes it as "partial 16S ribosomal RNA". It matches the Rfam family "Bacterial small subunit ribosomal RNA", at positions 524 to 801 of the family's 1533-position model. The record is from RNAcentral.